UGGGGAAUUUUGGACAAUGGGCGCAAGCCUGAUCCAGCCAUGCCGCGUGCAGGAAGACGGCCCUCUGGGUUGUAAACUGCUUUUAUUCGGGAAUAAACCUAUCUACGUGUAGAUAGCUGAAUGUACCGAAGGAAUAAGGAUCGGCUAACUCCGUGCCAGCAGCCGCGGUAAUACGGAGGAUCCAAGCGUUAUCCGGAAUCAUUGGGUUUAAAGGGUCCGUAGGCGGUUUAGUAAGUCAGUGGUGAAAGCCCAUCGCUCAACGAUGGAACGGCCAUUGAUACUGCUAGACUUGAAUUAUUAGGAAGUAACUAGAAUAUGUAGUGUAGCGGUGAAAUGCUUAGAUAUGACAUAGAACACCGAUUGCGAAGGCAGCUCACUACGGAUGUAUUGACACUGAGGCACGAAAGCGUGGGGAUCAAACA
RNAcentral lists this ribosomal RNA (422 nucleotides) under uncultured bacterium. RNAcentral describes it as "bacterial SSU rRNA". It matches the Rfam family "Bacterial small subunit ribosomal RNA", at positions 355 to 774 of the family's 1533-position model. The record is from RNAcentral.